This 299-nucleotide ribosomal RNA is filed under the name uncultured soil bacterium. Its description in RNAcentral is "partial 16S ribosomal RNA". It matches the Rfam family "Bacterial small subunit ribosomal RNA", at positions 26 to 320 of the family's 1533-position model. The record is from RNAcentral.
AGAGUGAACGCUGGCGGUAGGCCUAACACAUGCAAGUCGAACGGCAGCACAGUAAGAGCUUGCUCUUAUGGGUGGCGAGUGGCGGACGGGUGAGGAAUACAUCGGAAUCUACCUUUUCGUGGGGGAUAACGUAGGGAAACUUACGCUAAUACCGCAUAAGACCUUCGGGUGAAAGCCGGGGACCUUCGGGCCUGGCGCGGAUAGAUGAGCCGAUGUCGGAUUAGCUUGUUGGCGGGUAAAAGCCCACCAAGGCGACGAUCCGUAGCUGGUCUGAGAGGAUGGACUACGACGACCACUAC